RNAcentral lists this transfer RNA (73 nucleotides) under Salmonella enterica subsp. enterica serovar Typhimurium str. LT2. RNAcentral describes it as "tRNA-Gly". The stretch from base 9 to 73 matches the Rfam family "tRNA", at positions 1 to 63 of the family's 71-position model. From Rfam's summary of the family: Transfer RNA (tRNA) molecules are approximately 80 nucleotides in length. Their secondary structure includes four short double-helical elements and three loops (D, anti-codon, and T loops). Further hydrogen bonds mediate the characteristic L-shaped molecular structure. tRNAs have two regions of fundamental functional importance: the anti-codon, which is responsible for specific mRNA codon recognition, and the 3' end, to which the tRNAs corresponding amino acid is attached (by aminoacyl-tRNA synthetases). tRNAs cope with the degeneracy of the genetic code in two manners: having more than one tRNA (with a specific anti-codon) for a particular amino acid; and 'wobble' base-pairing, i.e. permitting non-standard base-pairing at the 3rd anti-codon position. The record is from RNAcentral. Lineage: Bacteria; Pseudomonadati; Pseudomonadota; Gammaproteobacteria; Enterobacterales; Enterobacteriaceae. RNAcentral also lists the same sequence under 1 other name.
AAGAUUAUGCGGGAAUAGCUCAGUUGGUAGAGCACGACCUUGCCAAGGUCGGGGUCGCGAGUUCGAGUCUCGU